AAAUCCGACGUGUCUGUUGUUGCACGUCAAUAUAUAACAAGCAGUUAUAUAUUAAGAUGUUAUGCAGAAGUACAACCAUUAACUUUAGGUCUAUUCCAUUUCUAUCAUCUUUAAACGUAAAUAAUGAAACGAAGCAAGAAAUUUGGCUACUAGCUGUAGAAAUUUUUGGUUCUUCGAUACAACGUGUAUCUAAAAAUAUGAUGGUGGUGAAAUGUAAAGAUUCACCUAAGCAUCCAUCCAUCGUAUUAAAAUAUUCAUUUUUUGUUACAAAAUUAAAACCAAGGAGAUGGAAUAUCGUUAUUUUUGUUCUUCUUUAUUACGUUUAAAGAAAGUAUAGGAAAAAGUACAGCAUGACAACGCGAACCAGAUGUAGCACAACGUUUCUCAAGAUAAACGUUGCCUAAAUUAUUAUGCUUUUUAUAUAUUAGUGCACUUACCAGCAUUUACAAAAUUGUCAGAAGAAUUUAGUUGUUAUAUUAAUUUAGAUGGAAAUGAGUUAAGCAUAUCAAAACAACAUUAACAUUAAGAAUGUUAUGUAAUGACGAACAAGAUAAAAUAAGCAGGGGUUGGUAAGAAGAUUCGUAUUAAUUUUUUAUGAAAUAUUCAUUUUACAAUAAAAAAAAAUUUGAGAUCUCGAUAGUUUGAAUACGAAGAAUAUAGAUACACGUCUUUCGAGAUGAUGAGUUUAACAGUUGAAAGUGAACGGACGGAAGUAGAUUAAAUUUGGAUUCAACGAUUCAAUUUAAAAUCUACUAUUUUACCACAUAGUAUCGUUGAAAAUAUUGAAGUAGAACGUGAUCGUAACCUUAUUAGAAGAUAAUAUGACAUCUAUCCAAUAUAUCUUAAUAUGAUAUUUCAUAUUACAUUUCAAUGAUAUAUCAGGCUAUACUAUAGAUUGGCAUUGUGAUAUUAUAGAAGUUUGAAAAUGAUAUGAUGAACGAUAUGUAAUUAAACAAAUAAAUGAUAAAUUUAUGAACGAUAAAAUAAACGAAUAAAAAUAAAUCUGAUGAUGUUUUCAUGUAAACAGCGGUAUUCUUACGCAUCCAGAAGCAUUCAUGACAACAAUAAUAAUCUUUAAAUUAUUAAUGAAUGCUUUAAAAAAAGAAAAAGCAAAUGUAAUAUA
Apis florea (little honeybee) is the source of this 1123-nucleotide long non-coding RNA. Lineage: Eukaryota; Metazoa; Arthropoda; Insecta; Hymenoptera; Apidae. The record is from RefSeq and is a predicted model, not a curated record.